GAUGAACGCUGGCGGCGUGCCUAAUACAUGCAAGUCGAGCGAACAGACUAGGAGCUUGCUCCUCUGACGUUAGCGGCGGACGGGUGAGUAACACGUGGAUAACCUACCUAUAAGACUGGGAUAACUUCGGGAAACCGGAGCUAAUACCGGAUAAUAUAUUGAACCGCAUGGUUCAAUAGUGAAAGACGGUUUUGCUGUCACUUAUAGAUGGAUCCGCGCCGCAUUAGCUAGUUGGUAAGGUAACGGCUUACCAAGGCAACGAUGCGUAGCCGACCUGAGAGGGUGAUCGGCCACACUGGAACUGAGACACGGUCCAGACUCCUACGGGAGGCAGCAGUAGGGAAUCUUCCGCAAUGGGCGAAAGCCUGACGGAGCAACGCCGCGUGAGUGAUGAAGGUCUUCGGAUCGUAAAACUCUGUUAUUAGGGAAGAACAAAUGUGUAAGUAACUAUGCACGCCUUGACGGUACCUAAUCAGAAAGCCACGGCUAACUACGUG
This 497-nucleotide ribosomal RNA is filed under the name uncultured bacterium. Its description in RNAcentral is "partial 16S ribosomal RNA". It matches the Rfam family "Bacterial small subunit ribosomal RNA", at positions 28 to 507 of the family's 1533-position model. The record is from RNAcentral.